This 253-nucleotide ribosomal RNA is filed under the name uncultured bacterium. Its description in RNAcentral is "partial 16S ribosomal RNA". It matches the Rfam family "Bacterial small subunit ribosomal RNA", at positions 524 to 776 of the family's 1533-position model. The record is from RNAcentral.
UACGGAGGGAGCUAGCGUUGUUCGGAAUUACUGGGCGUAAAGCGCGCGUAGGCGGCUUUGUAAGUUAGAGGUGAAAGCCCGGAGCUCAACUCCGGAACUGCCUUUAAAACUGCAUCGCUUGAAUCCAGGAGAGGUGAGUGGAAUUCCGAGUGUAGAGGUGAAAUUCGUAGAUAUUCGGAAGAACACCAGUGGCGAAGGCGGCUCACUGGACCGGUACUGACGCUGAGACGCGAAAGCCAGGGGAGCAAACGGG